This 1006-nucleotide long non-coding RNA is filed under the name Marmota monax (woodchuck). Lineage: Eukaryota; Metazoa; Chordata; Mammalia; Rodentia; Sciuridae. The record is from RNAcentral.
GGACAGCCUCAGCAGAGGAAGCAGAGAGGCCCCCCAGGAUCUUGCUGAGCAGAGGGCAGCACGCACUGGGUUGAACUGCCCUGGUCACUGCAGGCGGGCUGUACCAUUUGUGGAGCUCACAGAGAUGGCAUCCCUGGAGUUCCCACCUGCUGGAGGGGAGAGUGACCCUCAGGCACUCACUAGGCAGGCAGGGUCCAUUCUGUAGUAGUGGGUCUGGACUGCCUGAGGCGAUGGCCCCUCCAGACCUGCCCUGGCCAAGCUGAAGUCCACCUGGAAAGUCUCCCAGUGAAUGGGGAGCAGCGAAGCCCCCAACCAGGACGAAGCCCAGUGCUCCUCAGAAGAGGCCAGCAAAACCCAGACACUCAGCAGUGAGAUAUCUGUGACUCCGACGGUGCACUCCAGGGUUUGGGUGAGAAUGUGGACGCAGAGAGGAAAGGAGCAGAAGGUGUAAGAACAAGCAGAGGAGCCGCUGGAGCUGCUUCUGAAAUGCACACCCGGGGUAAGCAUCCAGCCGAUAAAGACACCGCGAACGGGAAGGCGCGGCUGUGAGGAUGAUCCAAAAUGAAACACACAGAACACUGGCCAGUGCGGAGAAUCCCAGCGACCAGGGCCAAUGUCCCAAGGUUGAAGGUGCAUGAAAUUGCAGGCCCUGAGGGAGGCGGGCUGAGUGUUUCAAGAUAUAAUGGCUGAACCAUUUCCAAAUUUGAUGACAACCAUGAAUCUAUAUAGAUCCAAGUUCAACCAGGACCAACUAGGAUAAACAGAGAACAAUCACACAAAGCCAUAGUCGUAACCGAUUUUCUGAAACCAGCAUUAAAGAGAAGGUCCUAAAAGUUGCCAAGGAACUGCCUAAAAGUGACACCUGUGUGGCUUUGGAAAUGAGGCAAGCCAGAGGUCAGUGGGGUCAAAUCUCCAGAGAAGCGAAAGACACUGUGGACCUAGAACUCUCUACCCUAAAAAAGGAACCUAAAAAAGAAGACAAAAUGAAGACACCAUCAGACUUGCA